CAGAGAGAAUAGAAACCUGAAUGCUGUACUGGCUGUGCAGGGCAGAGUCCCGGGCUGAAAUUGCAGACUGGUGCAUGUCCUCCAUGCAGGCUCUUAUGACCGAGCGGUAGUUCUUACUCACUUGGACUAAUUGCGCGUUCCUCGCCCUCGCGGCUCGCUCCUCCUCGCAGCGCUGCAGCCCAACGAAGAUGCCGUGUGAUUCGUUGAAGAGCUUCCGCAGCGUCUCCAUGUAGAUGUCCUGAUCCCUGCGGACCACGAAGACGCGGGAGGGGCCCGGCGCUCCGUCCCCGCCGCCCGCAACGCCGCACCCCGUCGGGGCCGGACCCGCGCUGCCUCCCGGCGCCCCGCGGCGCUCCCCACCUCUCCGGCCGAAGAGCGUCUCGCACAGCAGCAUCUCGGCGGGGCCCCACUCGAAGCACAGCUGCGUCCGGGCCGGGUCGGCGCCCGGCACCACCGUCAGCGGCGGCUCCGUGUCGGGCUCCUCCAUGGCCGCGUCGCUCUCCCGCCCGAGCUGAGGCCCCGCGAGGCUGCCCGCUCUCCUGCCUGCUGCCACCCGCGGAGCUCCGCAGCGUUUCCCCUCGUCCGGCGGCCGGCAGUCCGGCAGCCAGCCGCCUCCGUCCUCCUCCCCUUCUUCCCCUCAGCACCGCUGAGGCUCCGCGACUUUGGGGCAGGCGCGGCCGUUCGCCCCGGAAACAGUGCCGGCACUGAAGGCCCCGGCGGGGCGGGAGGGGGGAGGCCGGGCCAGGCCAGGCCGCUCUAAUCCCGGAGCUGGGGCGGGGGAGCGUGGUGGGGAAGCAGUAGGAGCAGAGCCGUGUCCGCCUGCCUCGCCGUGCUUGCUCUCUAACCAUCGGUCUCUUUACGCACUUCAGGCGCUCGCAGGUAGUUGAGCCUCCAGAACACAUUAUGUGGAGCUGCGGCUCUCGGGCCGAUGGAACUCUGUGCUUUGUGCCUCGCUGGGCUCCUGCGGGCUCGAGGGUAGCUCUUACUGAAGGGUUAGGUUGAGCACAGCGGGCCGGGAACAGCGUGGAAAACCGCUGUCCCCACGUUGCCCCUUCCGUGCUGUCCUUCCUGCCUGCAGGCACCUCGCUUUGGUCCCCGUUCCUGUCGGUAACAAACUCGUCCAGUGGCACUCUCGGUAAGAAAAAUGGCAGUGCUGUCUUGCUGAAUUCUUAACCAGAAAAAGCCAAUCCCUCUCUUGCUGGUGCUUUCUGGAACAGAAUCCUGCAUUCACAGAAUGGGAUGGGUUGGAAGGGGCCUCCUUCCAGCUCCAACCCCCCUGCUGUGCGUAGGGUUAACCUUCCAAUAUUGGUUAUGUCAUUUGCUGGCCUCGUAAGAAGAAUGCUGCAGCACUUUGCUGCUAAAUUUCCUCCUUAUUGGCUACUGCAUCCAUCAUUUUCUACACAAAUAAAGCUAGUGCUUUUCCUUACUAAGAGCGUGGUUUUCUCACUGAUCUACAGAGAACAGGAGAGGUGUCUGUCAGGCAGGAGGGAUGGUUUCUGCAGGGUGGGAGAAUUUGAAAUAAAUCUUCAGAAACCUGCUUUAGAAACACACCUGUUUGAAGAGAGCUCAUCUUUUGUGGUGGGCAGGAGUGCUGUAUUUGGGAAUGUGGAUGCAAUUGAAUCUCUUUCACAGAAUCACAUUCUUCUGCUAUCUCAGAAGGUGGUGCUACCAUGUGGUCAAGUCUGGAGGAUAUUAAUGCUGAUCUGAAAUAUUCUUCAGCCCUAAAACUGCUCUAGAUGUAAGCCAAACCUGGAUGUUUUAAAACCCAGCAGUGAGAACUCUGUUACCCUCAUUCUCUGAGGGCAAGGUGACACUUUUGUAAUUUCUUGUCUUUUUUAGGGGACUUCUUAUGGAUUACAUUAUCAGUGCACUGAGGGAAAAUGCGGAGCCUGCUGUUUGUGUGGGUAUUAGAAGUAAAAGGUAUUAAUAAGCUAAUGCAGAGCUUCCAUAGAGUUGGCUAACUCUUUUAAUGCGAAUCUGAGACUUGCUGUCAAGUGAGAUCCUUGUUAGAAGGAUGGGAGUUGCUACUGUUUUCCCAGUAGCAAAGCAAAGGAGUUCUCUCUUUGUGAGUUCAUAUGAGUGUCACGUGUGACAGCAGAACUUGCCACCUGGGGCCUUCCUAGGACACUUGGGUCCUGGACCAUCACUGCAUUCUUCCAAGUGACUGUCUUGUGCAUUUCUCUUGCUUUCUUUUGCCAAACCUAAUGCUUCUUUCUGUGAACCACUGUGUGGGGAACCACAACCCUUCCCACAGGGAGGGGGAGUCAAAAGGCAGGUGGUGGUCAGCCUUUACCAACUCUAUUGCGAGGCCUAAGCCCUGGGGAAUGCCCAUUAGUCUCGCUGGUCUUAUUUUUCUUUUCUUCAUUGUGGAGAAGGCUGUUCUGAUGUCUGAGGUGAGGAUAUAGAAGUGGGACAGUGUUCUGUCUCAGGAUCCCAUCCAGUGCAAAGACAAACUAAAAACUGAUCCAGAAGAUAAAGCUCUUUGACCCUUUCCUGCUCUGUGCUGGCAGAUACAGUCCCCUUCACUCACUAAAUUAAAAUGCCAGUUGCUUUUCAUGUCUGCAGCUUCUGAUGCUCUUGAAAGUGGGUUUUGCCUAGGGAAAUUACCUUGGCAAAGGUGAAGUUUAGUUUGAAACCUUAGUCCUUCUUGGAAGGUUGGCUGGAGGUCUGCAUGUAUCUAGAAGGGAGAUGUGCCUGCACUCUUGCUCAGAAAGGCUCUUGUGCCUGUCCAGUCUGUUUAAUUAAAUUGAAUUGGCAAUCAGAAUGUCAGCAUGGAAGUACAAAUUGUUCAGAAAGAUUUCAGAGUUCAGGUUCUGGGUUCAGCCACUGAAGGCAAAGGCCAAAAGGGAAUGCUACGGUUUUCUGGGGGUGGGGGAAAGCAGCAAAACUUCAAGGUCUAAUGAGGAAGAGAGUAAAAAGUUACAAAAUAGAAAGUUUGAAAAUAAUUUCAUAGCUUGGGAAAAGGCGAGAAAGAUGAGUAUCAUGAAAGGGGAGGCAUGGGACAGGCAGUCAUCCAGGCAAUAUUUUUCUGCUCCCGGUGCUACACUAGUAUUAAUGAAGAGCAAAAUCUGAAUAAGCUACUCACCCCUUCAGAGUUCAGGCUGAGAAGGUGGUAUAGGCUGAUCUGUUCAGUAAUAAGGAUCCAGUAUAUUAGUUUAAGGGCCAAUAUAUGAGUUUAGCAAAAGGAAUCAAUGAGUGCUAAUUCUAAAACUUUCAACUUUGCUUGGUGUGUGGUCAGCCUUCUUUUCUCUUAAUUCUGCUUAUAAGAAGCACUGGAGUUAUAAUAGACUACUUGUCUUUGCAUUUUACCAGGUGUAAGGAUGUUCUCCUUGGAUUUUCACAUGUAUUGUUUUGGAAGUUGCUCAUUAUGGCCCAACAAGCAAUGGAAUUUUGCCAGGUUGGGGAGAAACAGCUAAAGGUCAGCCAAAAGUCUCUGUGAUGAAGCUAAUGGGGGAAAAAUGGGGAUAAAGUAAGUGGGUGUACGACUACUAACUGCAACUGUGCAUGCACAAAGGAACAUUAACAUAUAUUAAUAAAAUGUAUUAAUGAGUUCUUGGAAAAGAAUGAAAUGUAUGUCUUAACUGUUUAAAUGUAGAACCUCAACUCUGAGAGAGUGUGCGUUUGUUGUCAGCCGGUAAGUACUGCAAGGAAUAAAGGAGCUGCUUUCUAACACUACAUUGGAGUCAGAGUGUUUUCUUCCUGGAUUUCAAGUGACAAUUUGGAUGACAAAGGCAACCUUAGCCAUACUCUCUUGCUUAUAGCUCUAGUAACUAUUGUCUUGCCAUUUUUGCAUUGAAGUAAUUGUAAAGCAAUAAAGUUUGGAAGGGUCUGGAGUUGCUUUCCUAGGCUUGUGCUUACUAAUGUAUACUGGCACAUACAUUGCCUUCAGCUGUCUUAUCUUAAAAAUCUUAAUCUCUUGAAAUCUUGGUGUGAAAGGGAACAUAGGUCGAAUGCCUGGUGUUCCCUGCCCUCUUCAGAAAAGUGCGGAGAAUUAAGCACAAGUGCUCUCCAAGAUCUAGAUAAGUCAGAUUUCUUCUUUAUAAAACUACUGUACAUGAAUAAAACAAGGCACAGAAAUAUUUGAGAAAUGUGGGAUUUUUUUCCCCCUGAGAUGGAAUUUCUAUGGAAUUUUAACUGUGACACUUCCCCAUUCAUAUCUCUUCAACUCUGUUCGUUAAAAAGGGGGAGCUCAGAGAGAAAUAAAGCUUUGCCUUUGCCACUCUCUGCUGUAGCUUGGACUCUGCAGGACUGGGUCUUUUGUAGUUCCCAGUGUGGCAUCUCCCCCACCGCGUGCUGUUGUGUAGCCAGUUAUCUUUGCAAUUUUAGCACUCUGUUUAUUGUUAGCUCAACUGGAUCUCCUGCAUAAUAUGAGUUUCCUCUCCUUCUGCAAGAAGAAAAGCCAUAUAAAUACAGGGGGUGUAGAAACCUCCGUGAUUAGAGAAUUGGUAAUUGGUGACAAGACCAAUGGUGCUACAGCUUAAACAUUUUUCAGCUUUUCUGAGCAGAUACAGCUUCUGCAGCAGUAGAGAAAUCCCAUAUGAAGACAAACAAGACCAUCAACCAACAUCAGUCUUGUGACACAGCAGUCACUCCUCUGUGAUGUUGCCUUUCUAUAAAUAGAAUUUAAGAUCCUUGUCUUUUGUUCUGCAUUAUACCCAGUAUGGUUUGAGUCUUGCUUAAAAAAAGCAGUCUACACUGUCUGAGGUAUAAGAAUAGAGUAGGUUUUAAGAUGCUCAUUUUACUUGUUCUCACUCCUGAUCCUGCUUCUUAGUUGUGGAGAGAAAGAUAAGAAGUAGGUAGCAGUUUAAAUGUGUUGCUCGUUGCUUUUCAAGGUUGAAACAGGAGGUGAAGCAGGAUGGUAGCAUGCUGCCAAACUACACGAAGGGUAUUUCUCCAGACACAGGAACUUCUUGCCUUCCAGUUGCUUAAAUAAAUAUAACAGUAAUACCACAAGUAGUGAAACAGGCAGGAUAGACUGACAGGAACAGUAAAGAUGGUAAAUCAAGGGAAGUGACACAGGUAGGAGGGGAAAGUACAGCUCAAAGAAAAGUUGGUUUGAGUCAGUGACAAUUUAAAACAGCAUUUUGGUUGCCACCUGGGGUAAGAACUUCCAGCACCUCUGGUAUUCUCCAGAACUGAAUUACAGACUUCAGAAAAAAUUACUGAAAAGUUCUAUGCAACUGUAGCUGUGACAUGCUUUCAGCAUACAGAAGCAGAGAGAACACUUUGCAACUUGUGGGGCCCUGGUCCACCCCUUUAUGGGAGCUUCACAGCUGUGCCACCAUCACUACCAUCUCAGGUAGGGGUGCAGCUGUGUUAUUUUUCCAACUGUGGACUCGGGUGAAUGUUUGGCUUCCAGCUCCCCACAGGUAUCACUCUUCCAUUUUCAGGCAACUGCAGUAAAACGCAACACCUCCUGCGUGUCUGCCCUCCAAAGGGAGGCACUGGGAUGUGCCAAAAGGCAGAGAGGCAGAGCUGAAUCUGCAGGGAAAACAAUCUGAAGCCUUUGCUCAGUAAGUUCAUUUUCUGUUCAGUUGAUAUUUCACUGCUUCAGUUGCUUAUUCUGGACAAAUCCCACCCCUCUGGAACAGUGCAGGCCUGGAUUCCCUGCAGGGAACAGCCCAGCCAACCCGCACCGCAGGCCUUCGUGAGGGCUGUUUGGUGGCUCUAUUCCACAUGUGCUGUGGCAGAACUGUUGGCAAAUGAUGGUGACAGAUGCUAGGUUGGUACCAGAAGGCAGGGGAGCUUCCUGGAGGCAGCCUGCACGGUCAGAGAUGAAGUGCUGUGCAAUGCCUGGAGUUACUGUACCACUGAAGUCAUUACAGUAAAACACGAGAGGAGACACUAUUAUUUUUUGAAAUGUUGCUUCACACGCUCAGACUUCUGAAGAAGAUAAUAAUUAAACCUUGACUGCAGUUGCUUUACCUAUGACAAAUUUUUCUCCUUUUGUGUUGGGAGCGCUGGCCUCACAGGUCAGAGACCGUGC
This 5986-nucleotide long non-coding RNA is filed under the name Gallus gallus (chicken). The record is from RNAcentral. Lineage: Eukaryota; Metazoa; Chordata; Aves; Galliformes; Phasianidae.